RNAcentral lists this ribosomal RNA (512 nucleotides) under uncultured bacterium. Its description in RNAcentral is "bacterial SSU rRNA". It matches the Rfam family "Bacterial small subunit ribosomal RNA", at positions 791 to 1304 of the family's 1533-position model. The record is from RNAcentral.
UAGUCCAUGCCGUAAACGAUGGAUACUAGUCGUCGGGACACCUAAUUGUUUCGGUGACGUCGCUAACGCUUUAAGUAUCCCGCCUGGGGAGUACGGUCGCAAGAUUAAAACUCAAAGGAAUUGACGGGGGCCCGCACAAGCGGUGGAGCAUGUGGUUUAAUUCGAUGCUACGCGAAGAACCUUACCUAGAUUUGACAUCCUGUGCUACCCUGUGAAAGCAGGGGUUCCUUCGGGACGCAGUGACAGGUGCUGCAUGGCUGUCGUCAGCUCGUGUUGUGAGAUGUUGGGUUAAGUCCCGCAACGAGCGCAACCCCCGUCGUUAGUUACCAUCAUUAAGUUGGGCACUCUAACGAUACCGCUAGGCUAUAAGCCAGAGGAAGGUGGGGAUGACGUCAAGUCCUCAUGGCCUUUAUAUCUAGGGCUACACACGUGCUACAAUGGUCGUGACAAAGAGUUGCUAGUCUGCGAAGGCAAGCCAAUCUCAUAAACGCGGCCUUAGUUCGGAUUGCAGG